Molecule: ribosomal RNA, 406 nt
Filed under: uncultured bacterium
Lineage: Bacteria
Description: partial 16S ribosomal RNA
Rfam family: Bacterial small subunit ribosomal RNA
Source: RNAcentral
AUUGAACGCUGGCGGCAGGCCUAACACAUGCAAGUCGAACGAGUGGCGGACGGGUGAGUAAUGUAUGGGAAACUGCCCGAUGGAGGGGGAUAACUACUGGAAACGGUAGCUAAUACCGCAUACCAUCGGAUGUGCCCAGAUGGGAUUAGCUAGUGGGUGGGGUAACGGCUCACCUAGGCGACGAUCCCUAGCUGGUCUGAGAGGAUGACCGGCCAAACGGGAACGGGGACACGGUCCAGACUCCUACGGGAGGCAGCAGUGGGGAACAUUGCACAAUGGGCGCAAGCCUGAUGCAGCCAUGCCGGGUGUAUGAAGAAGGCCUUCGGGUUGUAAAGUACUUUCAUCGAGGAGGCGUUACUCAAAGAAGAAGCACCGGCUAACUCCGUGCCAGCAGCCGCGGUAAUAC